Molecule: small nuclear RNA, 107 nt
Organism: Spermophilus dauricus (Daurian ground squirrel)
Lineage: Eukaryota; Metazoa; Chordata; Mammalia; Rodentia; Sciuridae
Source: Ensembl
GUGCUCACUUCAGCAGCACAUAUACUAAAAUUGGAAUGAUGCAGAGAAAAUUAGCAUGGCCCCUGUGCAAGGAUUACAUGCAAAUUCAUGAAGCAUUCCAUAUUAAA